RNAcentral lists this ribosomal RNA (924 nucleotides) under uncultured Anaplasma sp. RNAcentral's name for it is "bacterial SSU rRNA". It matches the Rfam family "Bacterial small subunit ribosomal RNA", at positions 61 to 1013 of the family's 1533-position model. The record is from RNAcentral. Lineage: Bacteria; Pseudomonadati; Pseudomonadota; Alphaproteobacteria; Rickettsiales; Anaplasmataceae.
GUCGAACGGAUUAUUCUUUAUAGCUUGCUGCAUGUAUGGUUAGUGGCAGACGGGUGAGUAAUGCAUAGGAAUCUGCCUAGUAGUAUAGGAUAGCCACUAGAAAUGGUGGGUAAUACUGUAUAAUCCCUGCGGGGGAAAGAUUUAUCGCUACUAGAUGAGCCUAUGUCAGAUUAGCUAGUUGGUGGGGUAAUGGCCUACCAAGGCAGUGAUCUGUAGCUGGUCUGAGAGGAUGAUCAGCCACACUGGAAUUGAGACACGGUCCAGACUCCUACGGGAGGCAGCAGUGGGGAAUAUUGGACAAUGGGCGCAAGCCUGAUCCAGCUAUGCCGCGUGAGUGAGGAAGGCCUUAGGAUUGUAAAACUCUUUCAGUAGGGAAGAUAAUGACGGUACCUACAGAAGAAGUCCCGGCAAACUCCGUGCCAGCAGCCGCGGUAAUACGGAGGGGGCAAGCGUUGUUCGGAAUUAUUGGGCGUAAAGGGCAUGUAGGCGGUUUGGUAAGUUAAAGGUGAAAUACCAGGGCUUAACCCUGGGGCUGCUUUUAAUACUGCAGGACUAGAGUCCGGAAGAGGAUAGCGGAAUUCCUAGUGUAGAGGUGAGAUUCGUAGAUAUUAGGAGGAACACCAGUGGCGAAGGCGGCUGUCUGGUCCGGUACUGACGCUGAGGUGCGAAAGCGUGGGGAGCGGACAGGAUUAGAUACCCUAGUAGUCCACGCUGUAAACGAUGAGUGCUGAAUGUGGGGGCUUUUGCCUCUGUGUUGUAGCUAACGCGUUAAGCACUCCGCCUGGGGACUACGGUCGCAAGACUAAAACUCAAAGGAAUUGACGGGGACCCGCACAAGCGGUGGAGCAUGUGGUUUAAUUCGAUGCAACGCGAAAAACCUUACCACUUCUUGACAUGGAGAUUAGAUCCUUCUUAACGGAAGGG